GGGCUCUUAGCUCAGCUGGUAGAGCGCCACGUUUACACCGUGGAUGCCGGGGGUUCGAGUCCCUCAGGGCCCACC
This 75-nucleotide transfer RNA is filed under the name Pseudolysinimonas kribbensis. Its description in RNAcentral is "tRNA-Val". It matches the Rfam family "tRNA". Rfam says of the family: Transfer RNA (tRNA) molecules are approximately 80 nucleotides in length. Their secondary structure includes four short double-helical elements and three loops (D, anti-codon, and T loops). Lineage: Bacteria; Bacillati; Actinomycetota; Actinomycetes; Micrococcales; Microbacteriaceae. The record is from RNAcentral.